Molecule: ribosomal RNA, 330 nt
Filed under: Triticum aestivum (bread wheat)
Lineage: Eukaryota; Viridiplantae; Streptophyta; Magnoliopsida; Poales; Poaceae
Description: partial small subunit ribosomal RNA
Source: RNAcentral
AUGUAUCAAGGAUUUAGUUACAGGAAUUACACUGGUUAUGAUGGUCCCUCUAUGAUGGAUGGGAUUCAAACUGCUGAUUCUGGUUUUGAUGAUGGGCUGCGAGUUUGGAAUGAGCAUGUUGCAAUGGUUGAAGAUAUGGCAGACAGAUUUGUUCAGGGUAGCCCUACAGGAGAUCUUUCUUUUCAGCAGAUGAAUGCUCAUGAGGUGGUUGUGGAAGUUCCCGAAGAAGAGGAGAAUUGGCUUUCUUUCAUGAUCUGCUUUUAUUGCACUGUAUUCACCCCUCGACUCUGCCGGGUUUCUGACAAAGAAAACGAGACUAGUGCUUGGUAA